AGUGAACGCUGGCGGUAGGCCUAACACAUGCAAGUCGAACGGCAGCACAGUAAGAGCUUGCUCUUCCGGGUGGCGAGUGGCGGACGGGUGAGGAAUACAUCGGAAUCUACUUUUUCGUGGGGGAUCACGUAGGGAAACCUACGCUAAUACCGCAUACGCCCUACGGGUGAGAGCAGGGGAUCUUCGCACCUUGCGCGAUUGAAUGAGCCGGUGUCGGAUUAGCUAGUUGGCGGGGUAAAGGCCCACCAAGGCGACGAUCCGUAGCUGGUCUGAGAGGGUGAGCAGCCACACUGGAACUGAGACACGGUCCAGACUCCUACGGGAGGCAGCAGUGGGGAAUAUGGGACAAUGGGCGCAAGUCGGAUCCAGCCAUGCCGCGUGGGGGAGGAAGGCCUUCGGGUUGUAAAGCCCUUUUGUUGGGAAAGAAAAGCAGCAGGUUAAUACCCCGCUGUUCUGACGGUACCCAAAGAAUAAGCACCGGCUAACUUCG
RNAcentral lists this ribosomal RNA (490 nucleotides) under uncultured bacterium. Its description in RNAcentral is "partial 16S ribosomal RNA". It matches the Rfam family "Bacterial small subunit ribosomal RNA", at positions 29 to 505 of the family's 1533-position model. The record is from RNAcentral.